GCGGCCGGAAGUGGCGGUUGGAGGUGUGGGUGGGCGUUACAGCAGCCCUUAGUUGAGUUCUCAGACUGAAGGUGGUAUUUCUGGAAACUCCCUGCGGGGUUGGCAGAAUGCUUCUUCAGGCCGGAGUCCUGUGUGACUAUUGAAUAAAGCCGGUUACUUCUCUGUGGAGUUGGCGUUCUGAGGGAUUUAAGAAGACAUGAUUUCCACCCCACUUCCACAGCACGUCUAAAGUUUUGUCUUCUUUCUGGGUCCUUAUCUUAUGCCACAAUGCAGCAAGCUCUGGAACAAGCUUUGGAUCGUGCAGAGUAUAUCGUCGAAAGCGCUCAGCAGAGGCCUCCGAAAAGGAAAUGCCUGUCUAGUGGAAGAAAGUCUAUAUUUCAAAAACUUUAUGACUUAUAUGUUGAAGAAUGUGAAAAAGAGCCCGAGGUUAAGAAAUUAAGAAGAAAUGUGAACUUGUUAGAGAAGCUUGUUAUGCAAGAGACAUUGUCAUGUUUAGUGGUCAAUCUUUACCCAGGAAAUGAAGGGUAUUCCCUGAUGCUGAGGGGAAAAAACGGAUCAGAUUCUGAGACCAUCCGAUUGCCUUAUGAAGAAGGGGAGUUGCUUGAAUACUUAGAUGCAGAAGAAUUACCUCCUAUUUUGGUUGAUCUCCUUGAAAAAUCACAGGUUAAUAUUUUUCACUGUGGAUGUGUGAUAGCAGAAAUCCGUGACUACAGGCAGUCCAGUAAUAUGAAGUCUCCUGGUUACCAAAGUAGGCAUAUUCUCUUACGCCCAACAAUGCAGACUUUAGUCUGUGAUGUCCAUUCUAUAACAAGUGACAACCAUAAAUGGACCCAGGAAGACAAACUUUUGCUUGAGAGCCAGCUGAUUCUAGCUACAGCAGAACCACUGUGUCUUGACCCAUCUGUGGCAGUAGCAUGCACGGCCAAUAGGCUGCUCUAUAACCGGCAGAAGAUGAACACUCGCCCAAUGAAACGGUGUUUGAAGAGGUACUCCAGGUCCUCCCUGAACCGGCAGCAGGACCUCUCUCACUGUCCUCCUCCCCCUCAGCUGAGAUUACUUGAUUUCUUACAAAAGAGGAAGGAAAGGAAAGCAGGUCAGCAUUAUGACCUCAAAAUUUCCAAAGCAGGAAAUUGUGUAGACAUGUGGAAACGGAGCCCCUGUAACUUGGCUGUGCCUUCUGAAGUAGAUGUGGAGAAAUAUGCUAAAGUGGAGAAAUCGAUUAAAUCUGAUGACUCACAGCCAACCAUGUGGCCAGCUCAUGAUGUAAAAGACGAUUAUGUAUUUGAAUGUGAAGGUGGUAAUCAGUAUCAGAAAACAAAGCUGACCAUCUUGCAGUCUCUUGGUGAUCCACUUUACUACGGUAAAAUACAGCCGUGGAAAGCAGAUGAAGAAAGUGACAGCCAGAUGUCUCCAUCCCACUCCUCUGCUGAUGAUCAUUCAAACUGGUUUAUUAUUGGGUCAAAGACUGACGCAGAGAGGGUGGUUAAUCAAUACCAGGAGUUGGUCCAGAAUGAAGCCAAAUGCCCAGUGAAGAUGUCUCACAGCUCUAGUGGUUCCGCCAGUCUCAAUUCUGGAGAGGAGGGAGAACCGGAGACUUCCUCCAUUCAGUCUUCAGUUUUGGGAAAGGGAGUAAAACAUCGACCCCCACCCAUCAAACUUCCCUCAAGCUCAGGAAAUAGUUCCUCAGGUAACUAUUUCACAGCACAGCAGGCCAGCAGCUUCCUUAAAUCUCCAACUCCUCCACCGCCAUCAUCGAAGCCCAGCCUUUCUCGGAAGUCAUCUGUGGAUCUCAGUCAAGUUAGCAUGCUUUCUCCUGCUGCCCUGUCACCUGCCAGCUCAUCCCAGAGACAUGAAAGCUAAAAAGGAAACACCUCAAGAGCUUUGCUUUACUCUUUUGGUUUCAUUUUUUAAAUUUUUUUAAGUUGAUAAAACUGUGCAUACUUCAUUCACAACAGAUUUUCUAUACAUUCUACAUUUAAACAGAAGUACACAGUUACUGUUAAAGAUGCAGUAUUAUCUGUAAAGUACCUGCUUUGUUCUUUGUAAACUUCUUUGUCAGGGUAAACGUGUUAUGUUGGGAAUUAAAUAUGUGUAUCUCGGUGCCAUAAUUGAUAGCCUUGUGUAGCUUACUAAAUACAUUGACAGUUUAUCUCUGACAGUUAUAAGCAGUAAUUUUUUAAAGCAGUCUUGAAUUAGUGAAAUCACAAAUAACAAAGAUUAACUUAAAUUCAUUCUCAACCUUGUAGGCCAGACAGCGUGUAGGAGACUAACUUUCAUUGGGUGUUGUGGUAGAGUGUAAGUGUAUUUGCACGGUGACCUGUGAUCCGGAGUGGGGUUGUUAGGUGAUAUACUGCAUCCUUAAUUGUAAUUGAGUGUAGCAACCCUCGUGGAUCGUGUAGAGAGUUAACACUUGCAGUCAACUGCAUUGAAAAAAUUGGAACAAAUUUGUCAGUGCUAAGAUUCCAUUAACCUUAUUUUAAAAGGACCAGCCAUUUAUAACAAACUAGCAAUUUUUAUUUUUCUCAAUGAGCAGGAUCUGGAACUCCUAAGCCAUCUACUCCUACACCAACCCCUUCAUCGGCCCCACACCCUCCUGAUGCUCAGAACUCAGCUCCUAGUACCCCUUCAGCCACCCCAUCUCCCCAAGAUUCAGGCUUCACCCCUCAGCCCACUUUGUUAACUCAGUUUGCUCAGCAGCAAAGGGCUCUGAGCCAGGCAAUGCCUGUGACAACCAUUCCUCUUUCUACCAUGGUAACAUCUAUAACAACAGGAAGCACGGUCUCCCCGGUCAUGGCAGACUCUGCUGGGCUUAACUCCAUCAGUGUAGUGAGCUCUGCUGGUGGAGCCCAGGCUCUGAAGAGUGGCUCAAACUCCAUGCUGGGCUGUGACACUGGGGCCAUACCUCCUGCAGGACAAAGCCUGUGCAGCAGCGGCCUUCUGCCAUCAGGAGGUCUCAUAACAAAUGCACUGCCCAGUGCCAUGCAGGCAGCUCCUCAAGCAGGUAUCCCAUUUGGUUUAAAAAAUACUUCAAGUCUCAGGCCUUUAAAUCUACUCCAGGGUCCUGAACAAGGGCUAGCUGCUCAAGAACCAGCCUUAACUGCGCAGCAAGCUGCUGUUGUUAAUCUUACUGGAGUAGGAGGCUUUACGCCGUCACAGGCAGCUGUGUUGUCUCAGCUUGGCUCUGCCGAGAACAGACCAGAGCAAACCCUUCCUCAGCAGAGACUCCAGCUCUCCUCUGCCUUUCAGCAGCAGCAGCAGCAGCUACAACAGUUGCGAUUCUUGCAGCAUCAAAUGGCUAUGGCAGCAGCCGCCGCACAAACAGCCCAGCUCCAUCGUCACCGGCAGGCAGGCAGCCAGUCAAAGAGUAAAGUGAAGAGAGGCAUGCCAACCACUCCAAAAUUCUGAGCAAUUGUUUUCUCUUUUUUAUAAAACAAGACCACUGAAUGAAAAGAAUUGUAUUUCUACUUCAUUUCCCCCAAGAUGUCAGUAUUUUACAUUGAUAUAUGUGCACACUUUAUAUAGAAGCAAAACCCUGUGAUUCUUACAUGGAAACAUGGUUCAAUGUUUUCCUGUACAUACCAAUUACAGAAAUAACGUAAGAAGUACUAGACAUAUCUUUCAAAGAAUGUAAUUAGGUAUUUAUUUAGUAUAAAAGGCCUGUGCACAGUGUAACAAAUACAAUUUUUACAGCUGUUUUACAA
Molecule: RNA transcript, 3701 nt
Organism: Rattus norvegicus (Norway rat)
Lineage: Eukaryota; Metazoa; Chordata; Mammalia; Rodentia; Muridae
Gene: Supt20h
Gene name: SPT20 homolog, SAGA complex component
Exons: 26
Source: RefSeq, marked validated